RNAcentral lists this transfer RNA (72 nucleotides) under Microcaldota archaeon. RNAcentral's name for it is "tRNA-Val". It matches the Rfam family "tRNA". From Rfam's summary of the family: Transfer RNA (tRNA) molecules are approximately 80 nucleotides in length. Their secondary structure includes four short double-helical elements and three loops (D, anti-codon, and T loops). Lineage: Archaea; Nanobdellati; Microcaldota. The record is from RNAcentral.
GGACCUGUGGUCUAGUGGUAUGACAUCUGCUUGACGUGCAGAAGACUGGCGGUUCGAUUCCGCCCAGGUCCA